This 328-nucleotide unclassified non-coding RNA is filed under the name soil metagenome. Its description in RNAcentral is "partial contains 5.8S ribosomal RNA, internal transcribed spacer 2, and large subunit ribosomal RNA". The stretch from base 1 to 120 matches the Rfam family "5.8S ribosomal RNA", at positions 35 to 154 of the family's 154-position model. The record is from RNAcentral.
GAUGAAGAACGUAGCGAAACGCGAUAGGUAAUGUGAAUUGCAGAAUUCAGUGAAUCAUCGAAUCUUUGAACGCACAUUGCGCCCCUUGGUAUUCCGAGGGGCAUGCCUGUUCGAGCGUCAUUAUAACCCUCAAGCUCAGCUUGGUGUUGGGGCCUGCUGCACUGGCAGCCCUUAAAAUCAGUGGCGGCGCCAUCUGGCUCUAAGCGUAGUAAUUCUUCUCGCUAUGGAGUCCUGGUGGAUGCUUGCCAUCAACCCCCAAUUUUUCUAUGGUUGACCUCGGAUCAGGUAGGGAUACCCGCUGAACUUAAGCAUAUCAAUAAGCGGAGGA